UAUUGCGCAAUGGGGGAAACCCUGACGCAGCAACGCCGCGUGGGUGAUGAAGGUCUUCGGAUUGUAAAGCCCUGUUUUCUGGGACGAUAAUGACGGUACCAGAGGAGGAAGCCACGGCUAACUACGUGCCAGCAGCCGCGGUAAUACGUAGGUGGCGAGCGUUGUCCGGAUUUACUGGGCGUAAAGGGUGCGUAGGCGGAUGUUUAAGUGGGAUGUGAAAUCCCCGGGCUUAACCUGGGGGCUGCAUUCCAAACUGGAUAUCUAGAGUGCAGGAGAGGAAAGCGGAAUUCCUAGUGUAGCGGUGAAAUGCGUAGAGAUUAGGAAGAACACCAGUGGCGAAGGCGGCUUUCUGGACUGUAACUGACGCUGAGGCACGAAAGCGUGGGUAGCAAACAGGAUUAGAUACCCUGGUAGUCCACGCCGUAAACGAUGGAUACUAGGUGUAGGGGGUAUCAACUCCCCCUGUGCCGCAGUUAACACAAUAAGUAUCCCGCCUGGGGAGUACGGUCGCAAGAUUAAAACUCAAAGGAAUUGACGGGGGCCCCGCACAAG
RNAcentral lists this ribosomal RNA (552 nucleotides) under Clostridium sp. Its description in RNAcentral is "bacterial SSU rRNA". It matches the Rfam family "Bacterial small subunit ribosomal RNA", at positions 362 to 929 of the family's 1533-position model. Lineage: Bacteria; Bacillati; Bacillota; Clostridia; Eubacteriales; Clostridiaceae. The record is from RNAcentral.